UGUCUCUAAGAUGGCGGCUGCAGCUGCACGAGUGGCUCCCGCGAGCGCUGGGCUCCGGGGCCUGCGGCGCACCCUGCCUUUGGUAGUGAUUCUCGGGGCCACAGGCACUGGCAAGUCCACCCUGGCGCUGCAGCUGGGCCAGCGGCUCGGGGGCGAGAUCGUCAGCGCCGACUCCAUGCAGGAUGGAAAAACUGAGGUACAGAAAGAUUAAAGAGCUGACUAGAGAUCACACUGCAAGACGCCUGCACCUGGAAAUUGGAUCUGGCUCCUCUAACUUGCUUGUACAGUUUGAUACAGUGCAGGAAGAUGAUACUGAAGGUCUUCUUUUCAGUAAGAGUUGUCAUCUUGGCAUGUAAAUUCAAGGAGCAGUGCAUCACCUUCAGUGACUGGAUGAAACUUGGCAGUGAGAAUCCUGAAGACAGUUGCUGAACGUUCCUGUUGACUGCCUGAAACAGAGACCACAAACCAUAUGCUAAGAGGAAAUAAAGCAUCUGUUUGGGCUUGCAUAGAGGAAGUGUUUCUGAUGCCUUAAGUCUUCAAGUCCUGAGGAAGCAGUAGUCGGACAUGGGAGCACAGUGCCCUUUGUGUUCUUUUAAACCUACAGGAAGAGAAGCAAAUGGUUUUUGGCACACUGACUAGUAGGCAGGGGAUGUGUCAUCUAAUAGAUGUGGAACUCUGUGUUCUUUUUGUCUGCUUGGGGACAUAAUUUAGGAACAAUAUUUUAUACUGAAGGACUGUCUAGUGCUCUAGGGAGAUCUGGGAUGCAUGGGGGAGGGGGUAUGAAAGGAGGGAUGGCAUGGAGGAUUGCAGUGGCGUAAUGAGUCUCAGAUAAAAGGCUCAAAGACCUGCUAACCAGAAGAGAUGGGGCCUAUCCAUUGGCUUUUUACCACAACUGACAGAUGCAGUCUUUUAAAAUGACUGGGCAUGACAAGAGGCCAAGAAAGAAAUCUCAAAUGUUUUUGACUCAUGGCGUGUGGGUGUGUAUGCAUGCAUGCAUACAUACACAUAUAAAUGUUUCAAGGUUUCUUGGUUUACUUCCAUUGUCUAUGAAGGACUAGACAUCAUUACCAAUAAGGUUUCUGCUGAAGAGCAAAAGAUGUGCCAGCAUCACAUGAUCAGCUUUGUGGAUCCUCUUGUGACCAGCUAUACUGUAGUGGACUUCAGGAACAAAGCAGCUGCUCUGAUAUCCUUAAGGAAAGAUGGCACCUAGGCUUGAUUUUACCCGGUAAAGCAUUUCAUCCCAUUGAACUUCAGUUUCCUGCCAUGUAAGUGGGGUAUGAAAUUAUAAAUGUGUAGUGAUAAUGAAGCCACUGUUAAAAGGUCAAAGGGAUUGUUAGGUAGUGAAGGAUUGAGAAAUAUGGUUCUAGAUAAGUCUUAAGAAAAUUACUGGAUGAAGGGGUGCACACUGUAAUUUUAGCUCUGGGGAUGCUGAGACAGGAGGCGCAUUAUUAUUCAUAGUCACCCUGGGAUACAUGGUGAGACCUAUCUAAAAAACUAAAGCAAACAAAAAAAGGAAAAUAGUAUGG
Molecule: RNA transcript, 1526 nt
Organism: Nannospalax galili (Upper Galilee mountains blind mole rat)
Lineage: Eukaryota; Metazoa; Chordata; Mammalia; Rodentia; Spalacidae
Gene: Trit1
Gene name: tRNA isopentenyltransferase 1
Exons: 4
Source: RefSeq, a predicted model, not a curated record